UACGAAGGGGCUAGCGUUGUUCGGAAUUACUGGGCGUAAAGCGCGCGCAGGCGGUCUUCCAAGUCAGUGGUGAAAGCCCGGAGCUCAACUCCGGAACUGCCAUUGAAACUGUGAGACUUGAGGAUGAGAGAGGUGAGUGGAAUUCCCAGUGUAGAGGUGAAAUUCGUAGAUAUUGGGAAGAACACCGGUGGCGAAGGCGGCUCACUGGCUCAUUUCUGACGCUCAGGCGCGACAGCGUGGGGAUCAAACAGG
RNAcentral lists this ribosomal RNA (252 nucleotides) under uncultured bacterium. RNAcentral's name for it is "partial 16S ribosomal RNA". It matches the Rfam family "Bacterial small subunit ribosomal RNA", at positions 524 to 776 of the family's 1533-position model. The record is from RNAcentral.